AGCAACAAAUGCCCUGCUUCCAGGAAAAGCCUCUAAGCCUCAGGUAACAUCAAAUCGUACCCCAAACCGACACAGGUGGUCAGGUAGAGAAUACCAAGGCGCUUGAGAGAACUCGGGUGAAGGAACUAGGCAAAAUGGUGCCGUAACUUCGGGAGAAGGCACGCUGACACGUAGGUGAAGUGGUUUACCCAUGGAGCUGAAGUCAGUCGAAGAUACCAGCUGGCUGCAACUGUUUAUUAAAAACACAGCACUGUGCAAACACGAAAGUGGACGUAUACGGUGUGACGCCUGCCCGGUGCCGGAAGGUUAAUUGAUGGGGUCAGCGCAAGCGAAGCUCCUGAUCGAAGCCCCGGUAAACGGCGGCCGUAACUAUAACGGUCCUAAGGUAGCGAAAUUCCUUGUCGGGUAAGUUCCGACCUGCACGAAUGGCGUAAUGAUGGCCAGGCUGUCUCCACCCGGGACUCAGUGAAAUUGAACUCGCUGUGAAGAUGCAGUGUACCCGCGGCAAGACGGAAAGACCCCGUGAACCUUUACUAUAGCUUGACACUGAACACUGGUCCUUGAUGUGCAGGAUAGGUGGGAGGCUUUGAAGUGUGGACGCCAGUCUGCAUGGAGCCAUCCUUGAAAUACCACCCUUUAAUGGCUGGUGUUCUAACGUGGGCCCGUGAACCGGGUUGCGGACAGUGUCUGGUGGGUAGUUUGACUGGGGCGGUCUCCUCCUAAAGAGUAACGGAGGAGCACGAAGGUUGGCUAAUCCUGGUCGGACAUCAGGAGGUUAGUGCAAUGGCAUAAGCCAGCUUGACUGCGAGCGUGACGGCGCGAGCAGGUGCGAAAGCAGGUCAUAGUGAUCCGGUGGUUCUGAAUGGAAGGGCCAUCGCUCAACGGAUAAAAGGUACUCCGGGGAUAACAGGCUGAUACCGCCCAAGAGUUCAUAUCGACGGCGGUGUUUGGCACCUCGAUGUCGGCUCAUCACAUCCUGGGGCUGAAGUAGGUCCCAAGGGUAUGGCUGUUCGCCAUUUAAAGUGGUACGCGAGCUGGGUUUAGAACGUCGUGAGACAGUUCGGUCCCUAUCUGCCGUGGGCGCUGGAAGAUUGAGGGGGGCUGCUCCUAGUACGAGAGGACCGGAGUGGACGCAUCACUGGUGUUCGGGUUGUCAUGCCAAUGGCACUGCCCGGUAGCUACAUGCGGAAGAGAUAAGUGCUGAAAGCAUCUAAGCACGAAACUUGCCCCGAGAUGAAUCUUCCCUGAGCCUUUAAGGCUCCUGAAGGAACGUUGAAGACGACGACGUUGAUAGGCCGGGUGUGUAAGCGCAGCGAUGCGUUGAGCUAACCGGUACUAAUGAACCGU
RNAcentral lists this ribosomal RNA (1347 nucleotides) under Salmonella enterica. RNAcentral's name for it is "partial 23S ribosomal RNA". It matches the Rfam family "Bacterial large subunit ribosomal RNA", at positions 1589 to 2912 of the family's 2925-position model. Lineage: Bacteria; Pseudomonadati; Pseudomonadota; Gammaproteobacteria; Enterobacterales; Enterobacteriaceae. RNAcentral also lists the same sequence under 1 other name. The record is from RNAcentral.